AUGCAGGUAAAGUUACAAUGUAGCUGUUGAAGUGCUGUGUUGUCGUUCCCCCUGCAUAAAACAAAAUUGUCUCUAUUCUAUCUUUGUCUGUUUUGAUUCCGUAGCAGACAAAGACGCUUGGUUUCAUACAU
Molecule: small nucleolar RNA, 131 nt
Filed under: Naja naja (Indian cobra)
Lineage: Eukaryota; Metazoa; Chordata; Lepidosauria; Squamata; Elapidae
Description: Small nucleolar RNA SNORA63 (ENSNNAG00000011547.1)
Rfam family: Small nucleolar RNA SNORA63
About the family: E3 belongs to the H/ACA class of snoRNAs and is involved in the processing of eukaryotic pre-rRNA and has regions of complementarity to 18S rRNA.
Source: Rfam by way of RNAcentral